CACAUGGUGGGUCUAUGUGUUCUCCAAUCCAAUUUUGAGAUUAAGAACAGAAGAAUGAAAUAACAGUUAACCAGUUUUAACAUAUAAUGGAUUCCAUGAGAUUGGAGAAUUCAUUUUACAAUCCUGGCAAUACUGCAUAAAGGUUUUAUGUCUUGGGCCCUUGUUAUCUUCAGGGCCAUCUUCUUCAAUAUAAUCUGCCCAGCCAACACGACAUAGUUGGAAGUCAAUGCUGCAGAUGCCCAUUUCCAGAGAGAUCAGGCCGAAUGGACAAGAACAUUCUCAGUUCUCCUCCUGCAUUUGGAAUUCCCAAAGUUAUUUUUUAGACUUCUUCCUUAGGUCAUUCAGGGAUUAAUAGUUUAAUUUAAGAAAUCAAUAUUUAUUGUUGAUUUUAAUAUAUACAUGCUGCAGGCUACCUAGAAUAGAUACCAUAUAAAUAUAUACUGUAAUAAUGUAAUGUAUAUGUUCAUAAAAUAAACUUAGCCAAAUGUACAUUUGGUUGAUCUUUCAUAGCUCGAUUUUUUUUUUAGUUCAGGUUUUUGGUGUGCUUUUAUAUGAUAUACAUAUAACUAUAUAUAUCGUAUAAUUAGAUAUAAUAUGUAGAUAUAGAUAUAUAGAUAUGCAUAUACAUAUCAUACUAGAAAACUGGAAUCUAUAAAUAACACCUAAAAUAAAAGGGAAAUUUAGCUCUAAUGUGCAAAACAAAGAAUAAGACAGACAAAUAUAGAAGUCUGCCAAGAAAUUCACUGUUUAUAGUAAACACCUUCUUCUAACAAUCUUGAAAAAAAUAUUUAUGGAUGUUGAUAGAUGUACAAUACUGAAAUCAAAGUGUGUUUAUAUGUAUGUGUAUUCUCAGUAACUAACCUUGCAAAAAUUACAAAUAAAAUACGCAGACAAAAAAACAUCAUUUCAGUAACAUCUCACAUGAUUGGGCAGUGAAAAUAAAGGACAGCUUCAAUGGAAUUAAUUCAAUAAACAGAGUAUUCAGAGAAGCCUGGAGUAAAAUUUGGACAUCAUUAAAGAAAAUGCAAAAAAAAACCCAUUUCCAGAGGCAAAAAGCAAAUGAAGGCAAAAUGGCUGUCUACUGACAUGUUGGUAAUAGGAGAAGAAAGACAGAAAAGAUACAGCAACAGAGACAGAGAAGAACGUGCCUAACUCAAUACUAAAUUCUAGAGUAAAACAUCUAAAUAAGUGAUUCAAAGAAGUUAAGGAAGACACUAAAUGGGAAACAUCAAAUAUUUAUUUAAGAAAAUUACAGAAGCAUGAAAAAUAAAUUACAUAAUAAAAACAAAAUAAAGUAAAUAUCAUCUAAGAAAAAAAUGUAUAAAGAGACAGCAUGGUAGAAGGACUGCAUAAAAAUGAUCCCCAAACUGAAGAUACAUACAAAGAUUGGUCACUGGAUUAGAAUUAGACAUUCUAAAAAGUGGCAUUAAAUUAAUUCUAGGAAAUUUUAUUAAUAACAAAACUGCAAAACUUAAUGAAGUACUGGCAGAACUGCUUAAAUUCACAAAAGAUUAUGCUCUUAAAAUGCUUAAUGUUUUUGUAAGCAGAUAAGGAAAACUGAGCAUUGACCAAGGGACUCGAAGUAAUCAAUUUAUAUUCCAGUAUCCCCAGGGGGAAAAGGCAAUGCAAAGAAUAUCCAGAUUAUCAAAUAACUGACUUAGUUCAUUUUCUAGUAAGAUAAUUGCUCAAAUGUUGCAGUUCAGACUUCAUUAAUACAUAGAAUGAAACUCCUAGUUAUGAGAUUCAGAAGAGGCAGGAGCACCCAAGAUCACAUUGCUAAUAACUGAUGAGUAUUUUAAAAGGUAAGGGAGUUCCAGAAAGAUGUCUUAUUUUGGUCUAUUUAUUAUAAAUCCUUUUAAAAAAAAUAUACAUUAUUGGCUGGACAACUCUGAAAUCAGAAUAAAUCCCUUCUGAAAACAAGAACUGAGAUUUUUUAUUCACUUAGCAAAAACAAGUCCUAGGACUGUCUGCAGUUCAAAUCUUCUUGAGAAACAUGUUUUAAUGCAUACAUUUAUUUUCCUAUAAUAUUGUAAUUUGAGCAUACCCCUCAGCAAAGAUAAGAGUAUCAUUCUAUUAUCCCCUUUAGUUUACUACAGUAAACAAGGCAUUCUUAUCGGCAAAGCCUUUGUAGACCAAUUAAAAUGGCCUUUGCUCUAGCUUCUGUCUUUAUCAUCAUCAACUAGGGAAGGAGA
Long non-coding RNA from Crotalus tigris (Tiger rattlesnake), 2192 nucleotides. RefSeq lists it as uncharacterized. The record is from RefSeq and is a predicted model, not a curated record. Lineage: Eukaryota; Metazoa; Chordata; Lepidosauria; Squamata; Viperidae. The transcript is spliced from 3 exons.